This 505-nucleotide ribosomal RNA is filed under the name uncultured bacterium. Its description in RNAcentral is "partial 16S ribosomal RNA". It matches the Rfam family "Bacterial small subunit ribosomal RNA", at positions 28 to 507 of the family's 1533-position model. The record is from RNAcentral.
GACGAACGCUGGCGGCGUGCCUAAUACAUGCAAGUAGAACGCACAGUUUAUACCGUAGCUUGCUACACCAUAGACUGUGAGUUGCGAACGGGUGAGUAACGCGUAGGUAACCUGCCUGGUAGCGGGGGAUAACUAUUGGAAACGAUAGCUAAUACCGCAUAAUAUUGAUUAUUGCAUGAUAAUUAAUUGAAAGGUGCAAUUGCACCACUACCAGAUGGACCUGCGUUGUAUUAGCUAGUAGGUGAGGUAACGGCUCACCUAGGCGACGAUACAUAGCCGACCUGAGAGGGUGAUCGGCCACACUGGGACUGAGACACGGCCCAGACUACUACGGGAGGCAGCAGUAGGGAAUCUUCGGCAAUAGACGAAAGUCUGACCGAGCAACGCCGCGUGAGUGAAGAAGGUUUUCGGAUCGUAAAGCUCGGUUGUAAGAGAAGAACGGGUGUGAGAGUGGAAAGUUCACACUGUGACGGUAUCUUACCAGAAAGGGACGGCUAACUACAUG